RNAcentral lists this ribosomal RNA (253 nucleotides) under uncultured bacterium. RNAcentral's name for it is "partial 16S ribosomal RNA". It matches the Rfam family "Bacterial small subunit ribosomal RNA", at positions 524 to 776 of the family's 1533-position model. The record is from RNAcentral.
UACGUAGGGUGCAAGCGUUAAUCGGAAUUACUGGGCGUAAAGCGUGCGCAGGCGGUGCUGUAAGACAGAUGUGAAAUCCCCGGGCUCAACCUGGGAACUGCAUUUGUGACUGCAUCGCUGGAGUACGGCAGAGGGGGAUGGAAUUCCGCGUGUAGCAGUGAAAUGCGUAGAUAUGCGGAGGAACACCGAUGGCGAAGGCAAUCCCCUGGGCCUGUACUGACGCUCAUGCACGAAAGCGUGGGGAGCAAACAGG